GCACCCGUAGCUCAGCUGGAUAGAGCGCUGCCCUCCGAAGGCAGAGGUCACAGGUUCGAAUCCUGUCGGGUGC
This 73-nucleotide transfer RNA is filed under the name Rhodospirillaceae bacterium. RNAcentral describes it as "tRNA-Arg". It matches the Rfam family "tRNA". Rfam says of the family: Transfer RNA (tRNA) molecules are approximately 80 nucleotides in length. Their secondary structure includes four short double-helical elements and three loops (D, anti-codon, and T loops). RNAcentral also lists the same sequence under 2 other names. The record is from RNAcentral. Lineage: Bacteria; Pseudomonadati; Pseudomonadota; Alphaproteobacteria; Rhodospirillales; Rhodospirillaceae.